This 471-nucleotide ribosomal RNA is filed under the name uncultured bacterium. RNAcentral's name for it is "bacterial SSU rRNA". It matches the Rfam family "Bacterial small subunit ribosomal RNA", at positions 28 to 507 of the family's 1533-position model. The record is from RNAcentral.
GACGAACGCUGGCGGCGUGCUUAACACAUGCAAGUCGAACGAGGUCCCAUCCGAUCUUCGGAUUGGUGAAGACCUAGUGGCGAACGGGUGCGUAACACGUGAGAAACCUGCCCCCGGUCUCUGGGAUAACAGUUGGAAACGACUGCUAAUACCGGAUGCCGUCGGACCGUCGCAUGGCGGACCGACGAAAGGGUUACCGGACCGGGAGGGUCUCGCGGCCUAUCAGCUAGUUGGUGAGGUAACGGCUCACCAAGGCAUCGACGGGUAGCUGGUCUGAGAGGAUGAUCAGCCACACUGGGACUGAGACACGGCCCAGACUCCUACGGGAGGCAGCAGUGGGGAAUAUUGCACAAUGGGCGAAAGCCUGAUGCAGCAACGCCGCGUGCGGGAUGAAGGCCCUAGGGUUGUAAACCGCUUUCAGCAGGGAAGAAAAUGACGGUACCUGUAGAAGAAGGUGCGGCCAACUACGUG